This 404-nucleotide ribosomal RNA is filed under the name uncultured Bacillota bacterium. Its description in RNAcentral is "bacterial SSU rRNA". It matches the Rfam family "Bacterial small subunit ribosomal RNA", at positions 356 to 774 of the family's 1533-position model. Lineage: Bacteria; Bacillati; Bacillota. The record is from RNAcentral.
GGGGAAUAUUGGGCAAUGGGGGAAACCCUGACCCAGCAACGCCGCGUGAGUGAAGAAGGCCUUCGGGUUGUAAAGCUCUGUCGCAGGGGACGAAGAAAGUGACGGUACCCUGUGAGGAAGCCCCGGCUAACUACGUGCCAGCAGCCGCGGUAAUACGUAGGGGGCGAGCGUUGUCCGGAAUUACUGGGCGUAAAGGGUGCGUAGGCGGCUUGUUAAGUUGGAUGUGAAAUACCCGGGCUCAACCUGGGGGGUGCAUUCGAUACUGGCAGGCUACAGUGACGGAGAGGCACACGGAAUUCCUAGUGUAGCGGUGAAAUACAUAGAUAUUAGGAGACACACCAGUAGCGAAGGCGGCAAUCUGGACUGUAACUGACACUGAGGCACGACAGCGAGGGGAGCCAAAA